UCAAAGAAAAAGAAUAUCUUCAUCUAUAAUCUCCAAAAUUAUUAUUUUACUUAAACUAUUCUUUG
This 65-nucleotide transfer RNA is filed under the name Catacroptera cloanthe. Its description in RNAcentral is "tRNA-Pro". Lineage: Eukaryota; Metazoa; Arthropoda; Insecta; Lepidoptera; Nymphalidae. The record is from RNAcentral.